GGUGUGUGCGUGGAACGAUCAGGAAGAAGAACAAGGGUUCAAACCCUUGUUCUUGAUAAAUCUUCAAAUUGAAGGGUGGAAUGAGGUCCAAAUUCACAACUGAACAUGAAUUAACGAUCACCUUCACAAGGGGAUCAUAAGGAAUCAUGUCAAGAUGGAUGGAGCGUUGAAGGCUAACGGACUAAGAAGACUCAACCAAGUAAGCGAACGCAAAUACGGACGCGCAAGGUGAGCUUGUUGGAAAAUGAGGACGUUCUGCAGCUGCGGGCUAGCACGAAGGUUAUGGCUCGUGAUAUGCUAGGAAAAGGGACCCCAGAUAUACAAAUUUUAAAUUUGGUAAGUACCGGUAUGUAGCAUACCCUUAUAUACGAGGGUGAAAUCCUUGAAGGAUUCAUAUGAGUGUGGCACGAACUUAAGACCGGUUCCCUGGACAUAAAGUGCUAAUUCUCAUGAAGGCACGAGACUAGCAUGUGGAUUGCACGCUUGGCCAGUGUGCAAAAAGCAUAGGACGCUCGUGAGGCCAUGAGAAGCAUCACGUGUAUGUCCGGACGAACUGGGAAUAGGGGUCGUGUGGGAGGGAAAGAAAGGGGUCCAACGAUUCUUAAGAUCGGGUUGAACAUGAGAAAGAAAGAAAAGAAUGGAAAAGAAUGAAUGAGAGGUUUGAAUUCGUGAAUGAAUUCAAACAUGAAUGGAAUGCAAGGAAUGGAAGGAAUGAAUGAAGGUUUGAAUCCGGGGGUGAAUAUGGAUC
This 748-nucleotide long non-coding RNA is filed under the name Helianthus annuus (common sunflower). RNAcentral describes it as "hypothetical non coding rna". Lineage: Eukaryota; Viridiplantae; Streptophyta; Magnoliopsida; Asterales; Asteraceae. The record is from RNAcentral.